Molecule: non-coding RNA, 631 nt
Filed under: Canis lupus dingo (dingo)
Lineage: Eukaryota; Metazoa; Chordata; Mammalia; Carnivora; Canidae
Description: Eukaryotic small subunit ribosomal RNA
Rfam family: Eukaryotic small subunit ribosomal RNA
Source: Rfam by way of RNAcentral
UGUUGAGUUGUAUAUGCUCUUUAUAUAUGUUGACUAUUAAUCCAUUAUCAGAUAUGCAAUUUGCAAAUUAUAACUGUAAAUAAAUCACAUACAAAUAAAUUCUGCCAUUCAGUAGACUGUCUUUUUGUUUUGUUGAAGGUUUCCUUUUCUGUUUAAAAUAUUUUCUAUUUUGGAUCUUGGGAGCGGGCGGGUGGUCCACUGCGAGGUGAGCCACUGCCCGCCCCACCCCUUGCUUCUCGGCGCCCCCUCGAUGCUCUUAGCUGAGUGUCCCGUGGGGCCCAAAGCGUUUACUUUGAAAAAAUUACAGUGUUCAAAGCAGGCCCAAGCUGCCUGAAUACCGCAGCUAGGAAUAAUGGAAUAGGACCGUGGUUCUAUUUUGUUGGUUUUCAGAACUGAGGGAUGAUUAAGAGGGACGUCCUUAAGAAGGACGGCCGCCGCUAGAGGUGAAAUUCUUGGACCCGUGCAAGACGAACCAGAGCGAAAGCAUUUGCCAAGAAUAUUUUCAUUAAUCAAGAACGAAAGUCGAAGUCAACCAGAUACUGUCGUAGUUCUGACCAUAAAUGAUGCCGACUGGCGCCAUGCCAGUGUUAUUCCCAUACAAGCUCUGCAAGAAAUUUUAAGGGGGACUCUU